Molecule: non-coding RNA, 338 nt
Organism: Osmia lignaria (orchard mason bee)
Lineage: Eukaryota; Metazoa; Arthropoda; Insecta; Hymenoptera; Megachilidae
Source: RefSeq, a predicted model, not a curated record
GCCUUGACGUUUGCCGCCUCGUCGAGAACACGCGUCGAGAGGGUGGACUCCCUGUCCCGUCGGCUAAUCAGCUUCCCCCCACACCCCCUCGCCGAUCGACGCCUCGGCCUUUUCAACGCGUCGUUGGACAAAUAGGGUACUAGCUUCCUCGGCCAAACGAAAGAACGAAUUUAGCGAAAGGACCGUCCACGGCUACGCCGGGUGAAUAGGAAACGAGGAGAACAGGAAAGGAGAAUGAGCGGAGCCAAAUCUAUUUAAUUAAAAUUAUGGCGAUACGACGUGGCCGAAGAAUCUCAAUUAAUCUCCGAAAAAAAAAAAAAAAAAAAAAAAAAAGAAAA